CACUCUUCUGGUCUGUGUUUGUUACGGCUGGAGCUGAGCUUUCGCUCGCCGUCCACCAUUGCUGUUUGCCGCCGCCACAGACCUGCCGCUGACUUCCAUCCCUCCGGAUCCGGCAGGGUGUCUGCUGUGCUCCUGAUCCAGUGAGGCGCCCCUUGCCGCUCCCGAUUGGGCUAACGGCUUGAGAUUGCUCCUGCACGGCUAAGUGCCCAGGCAAUGACACUCCAACAGCAAUGAGCAUGUCUAAUGCAGAAAUCUUGGUUUCUAACACCAUCCUUCAAUAAAAGGAAUCAAGGAUCCUUGGAGAAGCAGGUGAUUGUAAGACGGGCAGAAGAUAUACAAGACGACCCUGCAGCAUCUUGUAGUGCCUGAAAGUUUGCCACAAAUUCUUUCUUGUGUGAGAUCCAAGAACCCACUCUUUGGAUGUGGAUCCAGACCCCUUUCCGGUAACAUCUUCCUGGUGAACCAUGAAGGGAUGAUACUGAGGAGGCCAUGACCCGAAGGAAAUAGACCGCAACACUAAUUGGCUGACUUUGGCUUCUUUUAUUUAGCAUGUAGCUGACAUUUUGAUUGCCAUCUCAUGAAAGACUCUGAACCAGAACUUUCCUGCUAAGCUACUACUAAAUUAUUGAUUCACAGAAACUGUGAGGUCCAUGAAAAAAUUUGCAUGAACAAGGAAGAGAUGAAAUUGUGGACAGUCAAAAGUGUGGUCUAGCUGCCCUGGUGGGCUACCAAGGAAACUUGCCAUAUUAGUCUGGAGUGAGUUUUGACUGAUCAGAUUGGACAAUAAAAGGCUCAGCUGUAAUUCCAGGAGACUUAAUUAGUCAUUUGCAACCUUAAGAUACAGCUAUCAAGAAGCCAUUUAAAGGAUUCAUGAGGGAAGAGAACAGGUGGAUACAGGCUUCAGAUUUUGAGUUUGAUACCGAGAGGAAGAAAGAGGCUCACAACUUCACAACUGUGUGAAUGGGCCAAAACUUCAUGGAAUGCUGUAAAACAAGAGCCAAAUGUGAAAUGGUUUAAAUAAUGUGAAUUAGUAACACUCUUGGAAACCUGAGUACAAUUUGUUGUUUGAUGAUAGUUUUGACUUGGUUUCUAAUGCAGUGAAGGUCAAAGAUUAAGAGACUCAUCUAGAAUCUAGUAGUAACAAAAAGGAACCCUUGGAUAUGGCGCG
This 1168-nucleotide long non-coding RNA is filed under the name Homo sapiens (human). RNAcentral's name for it is "HSALNT0381324". The record is from RNAcentral. Lineage: Eukaryota; Metazoa; Chordata; Mammalia; Primates; Hominidae.